AUAUAUAAAACUGGGUCACAAGGUAAGCUUGUGUAAAUAAAAAAAAAAGUUGUAGGAUUGUUUUGGUGCCUAAUGAUAGCUAUUGCAGUGGUUGCAAUAAAUGUAUAUGGCACAAAGUUUGGGACCCAGGAAAGGGCCUUUUCAUGUGUGUGUGUGGGGGGGUCCUUGUACAUAGAGCUGCCUCCUGUUUCUUAUUUAUUUGUUUGUUAAAUUUAAAUACAACCCAUAAAUAGUGGGGGGGGGGAGUAUUUAAAACAGUGGAGAAAAGAUAAAGAAAAAAGGGUACAGUAUAGUUAGCAAUUACAAUUUUUAACUUACUGUAUUCUGUAUAAGUGAGUUCCAUUUCUUUAUUGUGUUAACUGGCUAGUUAACAAAAAUCUUUUUCAUCAGGUGAUGAAACAGAAGGAGAUGAAGAGAGACCUGCCUGAAGAAGGAAAGCCCUGACUGCUGAUGCUUCUGACCUUUUGACUUGCAUAUAUGCAACCUGCUCAUCUUGUUCCUCAGGUUCACCAAAAGUGAAAAAUUGCCAGCUAUACUCCUGUACACUGUUGCUCCUCUGUCUAGGUUGGCUUCAAGAGCAUCCAUGACAGGGAUAAAUGAAUUUCCCCUAAACUUGUCUCUUUCAGAAAGUUCGUCCAAGGUUUUGGGUGCUGUCCCAUCAUUAUUAUUUUUUUAUUCUUUGUAUUCUUUUGACAGUUUUGUACCCUACAUCCGGUAGAGUAAAUUUGGCUUGCUGUUAAAUUUCAUCAAAAUUAGCCCGAGUGUUUGAUACAAACUGUAACAGUGAACUGUAAAUAUUUGCACAUGCGCUCAAAUGAAAUUUGUGAAGUUUGGAGUGUCUUGCUAACUUUAUGAAAUUGUUCUAGCAAAUGUGUCCAAAGAUGAAGCAUGGAAAUGAAUUCAAAUUCUUCCAUUUUCUAAAGAAAAUUUUAGCCUGUUGUCUAUUAUCACCUUUUUUAGUUUCAUCACAGUAAAUACAACCCAGGGCUUCAACAAUGUAAGCAUAACUUCCAAUAAUAGCUGCAGUAGCUUUGGCAAGAGCCUCCCAUCUUAUGUCUGGUAAAUCUUUAGGGUCAAGAGGCAAGAUUUUUUUAGCACUGCCCAUCUUUUUGUAGAAGCUCAGAAAAAUAAAAAUUAAGCUCAUUUAUUGUGGCAAAAAAAAUAUCACUGCAUCCAGGCAUGAAAGGACAAGUCAACUGUGGUUCGUCCAACUAAAGUGGAAUGUAGUCUGUGAAACCUUAUAGCAUAACAAAAAUUGAUGGUCUUUAAGGUGACACAAAACUCUUUGUUGCUAUUGCAAGUAAUCUACAUGAGAUGUUAUCAGAGCAUGAAUGACAGCAGGAAAAAUCUCAAUCAGUGACAAGAGGAUGCAGCCUGCUGAACAAGUGUUUAACUAAUUUUGAUAACGAUAGUCACAAUGUCAGCAGCCUCAACUGUUGUCCUCCUGCAGUCAAAUGCUGGUGAAUGGUUAGCGAAUGAAUGGCUUGAGAGACAGUGCCACCUAAUCGCUUUUUGAUUCCUCAUGCCUCAGCCCCGCUUUUUUCAUUUGUGGUGCUGGCUCUCCAUGACGACUGCAUUUGGUGAUUCACUUGUUGAUGUUAGUCAUUCAAUCAAUAAUGACUUGUCACAUUUUGGAAAGUGAACUAAGCUCAAAAUUGCCCAAGACAUUUUGCCGCCUGAGGCAAAGGACAAGAUCCCAGCACCUUCCAUGUAGAGACUGGACCAGAAGUUGAAUCUUACUUCAAUCCAGGCAACAGGAUAAUGUCCCCAUGUGUACUUGAGUGCAGUAGGCUAGGUUAAGGGGUCCAUGACAAGCCUGUGGCUUAGUGUGCUUUUAAUAUGAGUUUUAAACUGGUUAUACUGUCUCUGUUAUAAGGGAAAGUUUUUUUCUGUCUUUCAGUGAUUAAUAUUGUCUUGUUUGUAAGCCAUCCGGAGACUAUUUUUUUAAAGGUGGUCACAUAAAUUUAAUAAAUGGCAUGAAUACACCAUA
This is a long non-coding RNA of Podarcis raffonei (Aeolian wall lizard), 1990 nucleotides long. RefSeq lists it as uncharacterized. The record is from RefSeq and is a predicted model, not a curated record. The transcript has 3 exons. NCBI's taxonomy places the organism in Eukaryota, Metazoa, Chordata, Lepidosauria, Squamata, Lacertidae.